This 107-nucleotide small nuclear RNA is filed under the name Myotis brandtii (Brandt's bat). Lineage: Eukaryota; Metazoa; Chordata; Mammalia; Chiroptera; Vespertilionidae. The record is from RNAcentral.
GUGCUCACUUUGGCAGCACAUAUACUAAAAUUAGAACAAUACAGAGAAGAUUAGCAAGGCCCCUGUGCAAGGAUGGCACGCAAAUUUGUGAAGAGUUCCAUAUUUUU